Long non-coding RNA from Nothoprocta perdicaria, 1242 nucleotides. RefSeq lists it as uncharacterized. The transcript has 2 exons. The record is from RefSeq and is a predicted model, not a curated record. NCBI's taxonomy places the organism in Eukaryota, Metazoa, Chordata, Aves, Tinamiformes, Tinamidae.
GUAGAGGGUGGAGGAGGAAAUCCCUGGAAAAGGACUAUCAUUGCAUUGGUUUUAAAAGAAGGAAAUCAAUUUGGAAAAAUGAAGAUGUGGAUAGGAAAGGGAUGGGCGUGAGGCCAUCUGGCUCUGCCUCCAACCCACUGGGCUGACCUCCCUUAUCAAUCCUCCAUGCGCCAAGCGCUGGAAAACCCAGCGCACAUCCCACACCUUCCCAGCUCUGCAGUUCCAACGCUGAAAUCUUGGACAAGAAGGAAUAAGAGCAGGUGUGGGAGGCCCUCAUCAUGUCUUCGAGGAGGUCCCCAGGUCACCAUGCUGACUCUGGUCUCUGAAGAGCAUCAAGAAGGACUUGUGAGGACCACCAAAACUCUACGAGACUUCUAGCCAAUAUCCUCAGUGCCCUUCUGCUCCCGUGACCCCAAAAGCAGGCAAGGAAACCCUCUGUUUUGGUGCUAUCUCUGCAACUCCUCUUCCCUCUUACAUAUUUCCUCAAACUCUCUUGACCCAAAGUCUACUGAAAUUCAUCAAAAGCUGCCACUUGACUCUAACGGACUUGGAAUGAGGCUAUAAAUUCUGGCUAUUGCAAGUGCCUCAGGUAUAUUAAACAAUGUACAACGUGGGCAUUUACACCAGCUAAGUUAAUUUAAACACAACUGUGAAUAUAAAUCAGCUACUUUCAUGUAGAAUUUCUCAGUGCCAUCAGGAGUGCUGUAUUGAAUUUAAAAAAAAUCUGACUUGUUAAUAGAAGCAAAUAAUGGCAAGCAGAUCUUACUAUUUUAUUGGGCUAGAGUUAAAUAUUUGACCAAUAAUGAAAACCUAUUUCUAACUGAUUUCUCUCCUUCCUCCACAUUUUGUUUCUUUAAAGGACAUAUGCACAUGUGUUUUCAGUAUUUGCUUUCGCUUAAGUUGUGCCUUUGGUUGGGUUUGUCAGUGGUUAGAACAGGGUGAGCUGAUGAAGAAUUAUGUUUUUUUUAUUUCCAGUAGUUACUGUCUCUGUAGAGAGUCGUCCUAUGCUGGCAAUUACUUAUUCUUUGGUCUGUCAUUGCUUUGGGCAGAUGAUCCUUGGGCUAAGAUGUCUAGUGUUGUAUGAAAAUGGGAGAAAAAAAAAGCUGGAGCCUUCUUUUAAAGGGCUUGGUCCUCAGUUAGAGAAGGGCAUUGCAGAUGCUUCUUCAUUUGCUGGUGGAAGAAUCCAACAGUGCUAUUGCUUAGGAGAAGAAAAGCAAAACGCAGGGACUCCAAAUCUCUGCA